CUUUCACCCCUCUGUCUCUUUUCAUCGCAGCGAAUAUGCAAUGUCACAAGGAAUUGAGGAUCAAAAAAAAAAAAAAAAAAAUAUUGUAAACGUAAACGCGUCGUCGUGCCUCCAUUCGAUUUUCUCGAGGUUUAAAUAUUCAGCGGGAAGCAAGGAAAAACGUUUAGAGAAAAAGAUGAAAAGAAAGAAAAAAAGAAAGUAAAAGUAUCGAAGGAAUUAUAUGAAAAUCGUGCGAAGUGCGAUGCGAUCAAAGUCGUUCAGACAUUUGCGAGCAUUUAUUAUAUACGAUUAAUCAUGAUCGAUGAGAAUGGUAAUAAACCGUGAUGAAUCGUGGCUCAAUCGCUGUUAAAUUAACUCGAUGAAAAAUAGUUAACAGCUAGCGAGCGUGAAAUCUGUUUUUACGUACGUUUCGUGUCUGCGCGCGAGAGAGAAAGAGAGAAUGAAAAUGAGAGAGAGAGAGAGAGAGAGAGAGAGACGAGCAAACGUGAUCUAUCUAUCUAUCUAUCUUCCCUUCUAAUUAAUUAAUGUCGUAAUCCACUUUCUAACGUGUAACAUUCGAAUUAAACGAAACGUGAAAGAUGUAUCGCAGCAAAGAUAAAGUGUAAAUUAGAAUUUUCUUCAUCGCGCGUGAAGUUUCGUUGCCCUGUGCAAUUUUUCUCGAUUUGUCCGAUUCGGAGCGUCGAAAAUCUAUGGUUAUUCGAGACGGUAUUUCGAUAAUUAACGAGAUUAAUUUCCAAUCCUCAAAAAUCCUCGCUCCGGUGAUAUCGGAGAUAACCUAAAUCGGUAUAUCAACGACGAUUCAGCAAUUUUUAUACGAUUAAUGCUGUUCAAAAUCAUGUGAUCCAGUGAGACUUUUUUUUAUUGUGAUAUAAAAGAAAAAAAAAAAAAAGAAAGAAAAAAUGAAAAAGAGAGAGAAAAAAAAACAGAAAAACACAAAAAUUGAACACUUUGUUGUACCCGAGUAUAUUAUUCUGGCCACGAGUUCCUUUGCCGCGCGAUCAUUUUUCUAUCGAAUCUACCAUCCGUAAGACUGUUUUCUCACCUAAAAUUCUUAUAUAGUCUUGUACCGUAUAAUUAAGACAACGUUACGUGAUACGGAAACGAAAACUGCCUGUGACACCUUCGAUCCAUCUACUGUGCGUGUUUUUCUACCGUCUUAUAUAUAUAUAUAUAUAUAUAUAUAUCGUGACUAAUCGUUGACGAACGAUCAUCAAUCGUCCUUCGUUUUUACCUUUUACUGCUGAUUAAUAAAUCGACGACGUGAUUAUUAAUAAAAAGGAGGAAAAAAGAAGAAAAAAAACGUAAGGAAAAAAUUGAAAAAAAGAAAAAAAAGAGAGAGAGAGAGAGAGAAGAAGAAAUAAUAUAUAUGUGUGUGUGUGUGUGCAUGUACAUAUAUGUAAUCGUGUCCAUUUUGAUAAGACGUAUGUAACGUAUGUAAUCCGGGACUGAACGAUCUUUUUAAAUUCGUCAUCGAUUUUUUUUAAUAACUCGAUGUCAAUAUAACCUAUUUAACUACGUAAAAGCUUGCUUCUUCCUUCGGUCCGAAUCGACGCGAUGAAAAACGAAGAAUCAAAUGUCUUCUUUUACUGGCGAAAUCAGUUUGUCGUCAUUUAUCGAUUAUUUUAUUAAAAUUAUUAUUCGACGAUAUUUAUUCUUCAUCGAAAAAAAUUUAAUCGCGCAACACGAUCGAAACAAAAUUGAUUCAAGGAUCCCGAAGGAAGAUUAAAAUAAAAUUUAAGAUUUAAGUAUAGUUCGCGUGUCGGAAAGAUAGGAGAUAAUAAAUAUUAGAAAUAUUGAAAUCUAAAUUCGGCGAAUUGUAUUUUUCUUUUCUUUUCUUUUCUUUUUUUUUUUUUUUUUUUUUUUUUUUUUUUUUUUUUUUUUUUUUUUUCUAACUUUCGGACACGUUUCGAAGCGAAGCUAAGAAACAUAAUUAACGAAAACGUAAUUAAGCAAAGAGAAGAGAGAGGGGUAUAAGAACAGUAAAAGAGAGAAAACGAUUGUACGACUAUACGACGUUCGAUUUCCCGAUCUUUCGCUUUUCUUCUUUUCUUCCAUCACCGCGAAUAUUUUUUUUUUCGUUAAGAGAAUUCGAUCGUUAGACGUUCGUUCAUGAUUUUCAUCGGUACACGAUCGCGAGAUCAAGUCUAGUAUCGUUUCGAUAGACAAAGAAACGUUGGUCGAUGAUUCAUUCAACCGAGCGAGCAUAACCGCUUCGAGCCUUGCGAUGGAAGAAGGCUUGUGACGAAUCAGAGAAACCGAGCCGACGUCCAGUUCCGAGCACCGUCGUAAUUAAUUCGCGGGUAUUCGCGAUCGAAGACUGCGUUCGUCUCCCUCUUAAUAAACUUAAAUAAACGCGGCGUGAAUUAUUCGAGGGAAAGAAAAUAUCUCGGCCGAGAUAUUUUCGUCACGAAAAUUGAUCGAUAGAGAGGGAACGAAACGGUGAUUGGUUCUCUCGCGUGUGUAUUACCCGAAAUUGAAAUAAAAGCAUAGAUAAACGCGAGAAACUCGGGCUGGACGGAAACAACACGAUGUCUUCCUCCUCGUGAGCGUAGGAUGGGGAGGCAUCGCGAAAGUAGAUAAUUUCAAUCUUGUGGACCGAUUGAACCAGCGAAUCCCUCCCUACGACGAGAAAAAGCUAAAUAUGUCUGUACAAUACGCGAAUAAUAAUAAUAAUAAUAGUAAUAAUAAUAAUUAUAAUAAUAAUAAGAAUAGUAAUAAUAAUAAUAAAAAUAAUAUUAAUAACAAUAGUAAUAAUAUUAAUAAUAAUGAUAAUAGUAAUAAUGUAAUAUCGGUUCCGUUAUUGUAAUUAGGGAUAAAUUAGAAAGCGAGAAUAAUAAUAUUGUUGACUCGUGCAAAGACGUGUCUGGAUGCCAACUAUACACCGUAUACAUAUAGAUAUGCACAUUGUACACAAAACCACGGAUGCACAUUGUAAAACCGAUUAUAAAAGUCCAUAGAGGAUGAACGAUGACGAGCUCACUUGGUCUUAGCCUGUUUUAGCAGUAAAAUGAAUAUAGCGCACCACCGAAUCAACCGACUGUUGUUAAUUGCUUAAAACGAGCGAGUAAGGAUCACACGACAAAACGCAUAAACGUAUAUACAUAAAGAGAGAUGAAAUAUAUAUAUAUAAAUAUAUAUAUAUAAAUAUAUAAAUAUAAAUACAAAUAUAAAUAUAUAAAUAUAUAUAUAUAUUAUAUUCAGAUAUUUAUAAUAUGAGUGAAAACUACGCAUUGUAGUUGCCACGCGAGAUACCGUAAUUGGCAUGCAUGCACGCGCGUUUCCACGGGUGUUCUCGAGAAUUGGCCGUGUGAUAGUUUUGUGGGCAAAACUCGCGUGGACACCGUCAUUCCAAGUCCCUCCUAUCGAUCGCGGCACACGGAGGAAAAUUGAAAAGGAUAGAAAAAGGAAAAAAAAAAAAGAAAAGGAACGAUCGAUCGAAAAUGAAGAUUUUCUUCCCUUGCAUGUUGCCACGGUACCUCGUCGAAUGGCAUCGAAUACGAAUACUGUACUGUAUUUUACGAUAAGCACCGUAAAUUCUGAAUGUACCUAUACGGAUACAAAAGAAUGAUAUAUAAAAAUGAGCAGAGAGAGAGAGAGAGAGAGAGAAUGCGAGUGCGCGUGUGCGUGAGAAAGUAAAUAGGAGCGUGCAAACGGAGAGAGAUGCGUGUGCAUCGAUCGAUCCUCCAACACUUGGUAUCGGUUCGAUGCAUCGUUUAUACAUAUAUAAAUAUUAUACAUAAUUAAUUCGGGAGGAUAACGGAGAUAGGUGUGUAUAGAAGAAUAAUUUAGACUCUAGUCAGCAUAACACAAUCGUAAUCGACGACGCACACGUUUUUCUUGUUCAUUUCGGUUUCCGUUCUUACAUUGUCAGAAGGGAGAACGCGUUGUUCACAGAUCGCGUUCCCAUCGUUGUUUCUCUGUACUCGACGCGUUCGGGUUUUUCCACACUUAGGGACGAGUUGUAAUGAACGCGUGGCUGCGUUUACGGCUGUUCGUUUGCUCGGAGGGGGUGCGUUGGCGCGGCGAGGGUCUCGUACAUUGUGACUUGUUCGUUAGUACGUAAUAUCGUCGUUAAUUGUUUUUCCUAAUCUUAUCUUUAAUUUCUUUUCUCUUUCUUUCUUUCUUUUUCUUUUUCUUUUUUUUUUUUGUAAUUAUUUUUUCCCACUUCUUCUGUUAUCGACAAUUAAAAUUAAUUUCUUACACGUAAUAAACGCUAAACCUUUAACUUUUUGCAUUGGCUUUCGUUGAUUUAUUUAUCGUUUCGAUUCAUAAAUUCGAUUGCAUAAAGAUCAAGCGACGAGAUCGAUUGGAUGAAAAUCGAUCGUGAAUGAAUCGUUUCUCGAACGAUGCGAUGAACUGACUGCAGACGCAGCCAUCGAAAGAAUCCGAUAGGAAGACAAAUAUACGUUCGAGGGUAAUAUAUAUAUAUAAAAAGAAAAAAAAAAAGGAGCGUAUCGAAGGCCUACUACCACUGAACUUUGACACGUGAUCGAGGGAUUUUUUUUUUUUAAAGAAUCGGAUAUGGUAACGAGCAAAGAAAAGUCGAACGCUUGAUCGUACAGUCCGACCAAAAAUCCAUUAGAAAAUUAGCGGGUACGAAAAUAUCAUCGGGGAAAUCAUCAGUUGUAUCAAUUAGAUCGGUAAUUUUCGAGCAUGAUGUCACGUUAUUCGUAUUAGAGAAUCCGCGCGCGGGGAACGUACAACGUCACACACUAAGACUGCAACAAGUAAACGAAUUAAGAAAGAAAAAAAGAUAAGAAAAAAAGAAAAAAAAAGAAAAAAAAAAAGAAACUACGAGAAGAAGAAAUCGCGACCGAUGAAACGGUGUUUUUUACGAUCAUUAUUGUACCAUUAAUACGAUUAUCGUACGUUUCUUUCUUUUCAAUGUGUUAAUUUCCGCGGCAUCGAGCCAAUCGACGCGCGACAUUUAAAUGCAAGUAUUCGCACAGGCCUACGAUAAGAGAAACUCUUUAUAUACGUAUCCAUGAUGUUUCACGUGUACAUUAAAUAAACGCAAGCAUUAAUUGUCAUUCAGCUAAUCGACGAUCGGACGACAUGCGUAGCGCUCUAGAAAGAGAGAGAAGAGAGAGAGAAAGAGAGAGAAAGAAAUGGGAUAACGACACACUGAAAAGCUUUUGCCUCCUAUCGUAAUGACGACUUUUCACUCGCGUUAUACCACUGCAAUUGGCCUAAUUGAUCACGGAUCCUAUUAUCUCUUUGACCUUUCUUCCCUCGAAUCUAUAAAUUUUUCAUAGCACGCUACUUCCGCUACGUACGUCAACAUCGUAAUGAAACUGCGUGGGGGAAAGAAAGAAAGAAAGAAAGAAAGAAAGAAAAAAAAUGAAAUAUCGCGAGGUCGAAUUUGUUAAUUAUUGAUUAAUUUCCAUUUUGGAUUUUGCACGAAUUUCGCACGUGCGAAAUCGAACUGAGCGUACAAAUAAUUAUUUCUACGAUAAUAGGCGAACGUGAGAACGUUCCUGGAACGUAAUCUAUCACUUUUCUAAUCGAUAAUUUUUAUUUUGAUAAUGGGAUAAUGGGAUUAACACAAGUUUUUUUCCACGUUCGUCACAAUCAAUCGUGAAUUAACUUCGCAAUUCAAAGAAAUUGUGCCGCAGUUGCAUUACGAUUAGUACGCCAACUUUUCAAUUCGACAUAGUACAAAAACGUUUGCAAAGUUGAAACAACUCGAUGAACAAAAUGCGUACAUAUAAUUUGGAGAACAACUAGAAACUCGAACGAUUAAAUUUGCGACACUGUUCGUUUAUUAAUUUCAAAGAUCGAGUACGAGAUUCCGGUUGUUGUCGAUCACGAAUUUCUUUAAGAAAAAUGCGCGAUUUGAAUGAAAUGCAACAAGAAGAGAAGAAGAAGAAAAAAAGAAAAGAAAA
Molecule: long non-coding RNA, 5885 nt
Organism: Apis dorsata (giant honeybee)
Lineage: Eukaryota; Metazoa; Arthropoda; Insecta; Hymenoptera; Apidae
Exons: 2
Source: RefSeq, a predicted model, not a curated record